RNAcentral lists this long non-coding RNA (223 nucleotides) under Lathyrus oleraceus (garden pea). RNAcentral describes it as "Pisum sativum (pea) long non-coding RNA (PSAT_LNC000008)". Lineage: Eukaryota; Viridiplantae; Streptophyta; Magnoliopsida; Fabales; Fabaceae. The record is from RNAcentral.
AAGCAUGGCUUUAAAUAGCCUUACAAAUAACAGAACGUGUAAAGAGAAAGAGAUAACUCCUCCUUAUAAUUAGGAAGGACUGGGUUACAGCAAAAACUAAUUCAAACUUAAAACAAACUUCUACUCCUAAUAUUUAGGAACUUUAUUAGCAACUAGAAAGACCAAUUCUAAAACACGUAACUCUCAACAAAUCCCUCCCAUAAACUAAACAUGCGUGCGGCAU